UACGUAGGGAGCAAGCGUUGUCCGGAAUCAUUGGGCGUAAAGCGCGCGUAGGCGGCCCCGUAAGUCCGCUGUGAAAGUCAAAGGCUCAACCUUUGAAAGCCGGUGGAUACUGUGGGGCUAGAGUCCGGAAGAGGCGAGUGGAAUUCCUGGUGUAGCGGUGGAAUGCGCAGAUAUCAGGAGGAACACCAAUAGCGAAGGCAGCUCGCUGGGACGGUAUUGACGCUGAGACGCGAAAGCGUGGGGAGCGAACAGG
Molecule: ribosomal RNA, 253 nt
Filed under: uncultured bacterium
Lineage: Bacteria
Description: partial 16S ribosomal RNA
Rfam family: Bacterial small subunit ribosomal RNA
Source: RNAcentral